GUUUGAUCCUGGCUCAGGACGAACGCUGGCGGCGUGCCUAAUGCAUGCAAGUCGCACGCAGGGUGCUUGCACUCUGAGUGGCGCACGGCUGAGAAUCACGUGGGAACAUGCCUCCUUGUGGGGGACAACACCGCGAAAGCGGUGCUAAUCCCGCAUACGCUCGGCAACGAGGAAAGCGGUAACGCGCAGGGAGAGUGGCCCGCGGCCCAUCAAGUCGUUGGUGGGGUAAUGGCCUACCAAGCCGAUGACGGGUAGCUGGUCUGUGAGGACAGACAGCCAGACUGGGACUGAGACACGGCCCAGACUCCUACGGGAGGCAGCAGCAAGGAAUUUUCGUCAAUGGGCGCAAGCCUGAACGAGCAACGCCGCGUGGAGGAUGACGGCCUUCGGGUUGUAAACUCCUUUUGGGGGGGACGAUAAUGACGGUACCCCUUGAAUAAGGCUCGGCUAACUCUGUGCCAGCAGCCGCGGUAAUACAGAGGAGCCAAGCGUUGUCCGGAUUGACUGGGCGUAAAGCGCACGCAGGCGGAUGCGCGCGUGGGGUGUGAAAUCUGGCCGCUUAACGGCCAGGCGCCAUCCCAUACGGCGCGUCUGGAGCGAUGCA
This 604-nucleotide ribosomal RNA is filed under the name uncultured bacterium. RNAcentral describes it as "bacterial SSU rRNA". It matches the Rfam family "Bacterial small subunit ribosomal RNA", at positions 11 to 653 of the family's 1533-position model. The record is from RNAcentral.